AGAAACAUAGCAAUCACUUCCCUGUAAUAAUGUUGCUCUGCCAGCCCAAUACACGAGAGGGGGACUAUAUAAGAAUCAAUGGAGCUGUCACUACCAUGAACUACCCGGCGAUUUGGCAUAUAGGGUACAAUCGCAGAUAAAUACGGUAUAAGCACCACGCCUACACAAUAUCUAUCAUUUACCCAUGGAUCCGAUGGAUAAACGCUAUACGAUCCUAAACAUGUAUAUAAUUCUAAUCUAAUUAAGCCAAGUAUAUAACUAUGAUAAACUAAGAACAAUAUAAUUGCGAAUGUAAACAAGUAGAGCAAAGUCAUAAUCAAUAUAUUGAAGUAGAACAAAGUCAU
This 344-nucleotide long non-coding RNA is filed under the name Sorghum bicolor (sorghum). RNAcentral describes it as "long non-coding RNA (SBIC_LNC015565)". The record is from RNAcentral. Lineage: Eukaryota; Viridiplantae; Streptophyta; Magnoliopsida; Poales; Poaceae.